This 253-nucleotide ribosomal RNA is filed under the name uncultured bacterium. Its description in RNAcentral is "partial 16S ribosomal RNA". It matches the Rfam family "Bacterial small subunit ribosomal RNA", at positions 524 to 776 of the family's 1533-position model. The record is from RNAcentral.
UACGAAGGGGGCUAGCGUUGUUCGGAAUUACUGGGCGUAAAGCGCACGUAGGCGGAUUUGUAAGUCAGGGGUGAAAUCCCGGGGCUCAACCUCGGAACUGCCUUUGAUACUGCAAGUCUCGAGACCGGAAGAGGUGAGUGGAAUUCCUAGUGUAGAGGUGAAAUUCGUAGAUAUUAGGAAGAACACCAGUGGCGAAGGCGGCUCACUGGUCCGGUUCUGACGCUGAGGUGCGAAAGCGUGGGGAGCAAACAGG